CACUCGUGGAUCAGUGGCGAACGGGUGAGUAACACGUGAGUAACCUGCCCUCCACUCUGGGAUAAGCGCUGGAAACGGCGUCUAAUACUGGAUACGACCGACCCUCGCAUGGGGUGUUGGUGGAAAGAUUUAUCGGUGGUGGAUGGACUCGCGGCCUAUCAGCUUGUUGGUGGGGUAAUGGCCUACCAAGGCGACGACGGGUAGCCGGCCUGAGAGGGCGACCGGCCACACUGGGACUGAGACACGGCCCAGACUCCUACGGGAGGCAGCAGUGGGGAAUAUUGCACAAUGGGCGAAAGCCUGAUGCAGCGACGCCGCGUGAGGGAUGACGGCCUUCGGGUUGUAAACCUCUUUCAGCAGGGAAGAAGCUUUUGUGACGGUACCUGCAGAAGAAGCACCGGCUAACUACGUGCCAGCAGCCGCGGUAAUACGUAGGGUGCGAGCGUUGUCCGGAAUUAUUGGGCGUAAAGAGCUUGUAGGCGGUUUGUCGCGUCUGCUGUGAAAAUUCAGGGCUUAACCCUGGACGUGCAGUGGGUACGGGCAGACUAGAGU
RNAcentral lists this ribosomal RNA (552 nucleotides) under Kytococcus sedentarius. RNAcentral describes it as "bacterial SSU rRNA". It matches the Rfam family "Bacterial small subunit ribosomal RNA", at positions 81 to 647 of the family's 1533-position model. Lineage: Bacteria; Bacillati; Actinomycetota; Actinomycetes; Micrococcales; Kytococcaceae. The record is from RNAcentral.